Molecule: long non-coding RNA, 219 nt
Filed under: Physcomitrium patens
Lineage: Eukaryota; Viridiplantae; Streptophyta; Bryopsida; Funariales; Funariaceae
Description: long non-coding RNA (PPAT_LNC012543)
Source: RNAcentral
UCGAAGUCCUUUUUGCCCCAGCCGGUAGGUCUCUAGAUGUUACAGAGAACCACGAACAACCCAAACUACUAAUCUUCGAUACCGCUUUAUACUCACGAUCUUGUAUCCACUGAUUGUCUUGUUAGAUUAAUCCAAUAAAUUUCAUUCACUCCGCAUACUCAAUCCUAUAGACACCCUUUUAAUUCUUCAUCACAGACGUAACUUGAUUUCACAAAACAG